RNAcentral lists this long non-coding RNA (418 nucleotides) under Nicotiana benthamiana. Its description in RNAcentral is "long non-coding RNA (NBEN_LNC038130)". Lineage: Eukaryota; Viridiplantae; Streptophyta; Magnoliopsida; Solanales; Solanaceae. The record is from RNAcentral.
UGACCGAGAAUCCUUAACAAGCCUGAAACCUCACAAAUCGAAACCUUGAGUUCGUGGAUAUCCAAAUCCUUAGGAAUCGAGUUAUUCCUAUGUCGAACCGAUGAAAACGACGAAACAGAAACCUCAAAAAAAACAAACGAUGGCAGCGGAAAACCCAGCAAAACGAGAAAACCCUAAAUCUUCAGAUAACAGCGGAACUCGGAUGAAAAUUGAUGAGGGUAACAUCGCAAGAAAAUCGGUGACAAGCAGAAUCGGAAUCUCUGCUGUGAUACCAUGUUAACAUGCCAAAAAUCACAGAUUGAUUGAGAUGAAAUCGAAGAGAAGAAUAGAGAGAGAGAGAGAGAGAGAGAGAGAGAGAGAGAGAGAGAGAGAGAGAAAGAGAACUGAGUCUCUGUAUUUUGUAAAUGUCGAUGUUUAC